GAUGAACGCUGACGGCGUGCCUAAUACAUGCAAGUCGAGCGAACGGACGAGAAGCUUGCUUCUCUGAUGUUAGCGGCGGACGGGUGAGUAACACGUGGAUAACCUACCUAUAAGACUGGGAUAACUUCGGGAAACCGGAGCUAAUACCGGAUAAUAUUUUGAACCGCAUGGUUCAAUAGUGAAAGACGGUCUUGCUGUCACUUAUAGAUGGAUCCGCGCUGCAUUAGCUAGUUGGUAAGGUAACGGCUUACCAAGGCAACGAUGCAUAGCCGACCUGAGAGGGUGAUCGGCCACACUGGAACUGAGACACGGUCCAGACUCCUACGGGAGGCAGCAGUAGGGAAUCUUCCGCAAUGGGCGAAAGCCUGACGGAGCAACGCCGCGUGAGUGAUGAAGGUCUUCGGAUCGUAAAACUCUGUUAUUAGGGAAGAACAAAUGUGUAAGUAACUGUGCACAUCUUGACGGUACCUAAUCAGAAAGCCACGGCUAACUACGUG
This 497-nucleotide ribosomal RNA is filed under the name uncultured bacterium. RNAcentral's name for it is "partial 16S ribosomal RNA". It matches the Rfam family "Bacterial small subunit ribosomal RNA", at positions 28 to 507 of the family's 1533-position model. The record is from RNAcentral.